GGAGCGGUAGUCCAGUCGACGAGUCGUCGAUCCGAGACGCCGAGGCUCGCACGUUCGAGUCAUCGGUCCGCUCCGCCA
RNAcentral lists this transfer RNA (78 nucleotides) under Pseudomonas frederiksbergensis. RNAcentral's name for it is "tRNA-Leu". The record is from RNAcentral. Lineage: Bacteria; Pseudomonadati; Pseudomonadota; Gammaproteobacteria; Pseudomonadales; Pseudomonadaceae.